This is a non-coding RNA of Pelobates cultripes (western spadefoot toad), 2210 nucleotides long. The record is from the annotation of a GenBank genome assembly. Lineage: Eukaryota; Metazoa; Chordata; Amphibia; Anura; Pelobatidae.
CUAGUUUAAUUCAUGAAGACCAGACCGGUUUUGUUCCCACUAGACAGGCAAGUGCUAACUCGAGACGUUUGAUCAAUAUUUUAGAUUGGGGAGAGGCACCUUCUAACUACUCAGAAAAAGCCUCUAAGAACAUCCCCAUUUUUAUUAACAAGGCAAAGGAUGGGGAUAUAUGUUUGGGGUCUCGGAGUCCAUGGGGUUUUGUGGAUGGAUGAAAGCAGGAAUUAAAACCAUAUACCAAAAUCUUAUGGCCAUGGUGGUGAGUGCGGAUUUAUGUUCCAAUUGGUUUACUUUUGGGUAAAGGCAUCCGUGAGGGAUGCCUGCUCUCACCAAUAUUAUCCAUAAUAUCCAAGGAGUCCCUAGCAACUAGGAUAAGGUCCAACUCAAAUUUCAGGGGGAUUCCAGUAGCCUCAAAAUAUCUUAAGAUGUGCAUGUAUGCGGAUGACAUGAUAAUAACCUUGACUGACCUCAUCGCUUCCAUCCCACAUUUAAUUAAUCAGAUUGCCCAGUACAGUGAGCUAUCUAAUUAUAAGAUAAAUAUAGAUAAAUCUGUGGUUAUGUUCAAAAAUUGUGAUGCCGAUAGAAAAAAAACCAAAUAUUAGAAAUGCAUAGCUUUGGAGAAGCUGAAGGGAGUUUUGAGUAUUUAGAUGUUACACUCUCAAGUAUUUAGAUGUUACACAAAACAAAUAGAAUUGUUGAAGAGAAUGUCUUGAAACUGAUUAGAUCAACAAACCUAAUGUUAAAAAAGUGGUAUAAUAAAUUUUCGAGUUGUUAGGUUGAAUUAAUAUUAUCAAUGCUUAUAUUCUCCACAUGUGGACAUAUCUUUUUUAAAUGAUCCCUCUAAAAAUUCCAGACAGCUGGUUAGAAAUUGUUCAGAAAAAUAUUGUAUGGAGAGGGACGAGACCACGCAUCAACCUUGACCAGCUGACAAAUAGUCCCAGUCAAGGUGGUAUAAAUUUCACCAAUAUUAAAAAACAUUGUGAGGCUAGUAUAAUCCAUCAUAUCCAAAUUCGAACUGAAUAGGAAGUGAGGGAAACAUUAUUAUUAUUAUUAAACAAAAGCGGUAUGAAUAAACCUGUCUGGCAAGAAAAAGGUUAUCUGAUAUUGAAAGAAGUUAAAAAUAAAAUUAUCUGCCAAAUUAUUCCGGUGUGGUUUAAAAUAAGAAAAAAGAUGAAAAAUAAUGGGAAAAUGUAUGGUUUUAUGGAGUUGGAGAUUCUAGAAUCGCUCAUGGACAAUCUAAAUUUAGACUUGUGAAAAGAAAAGAAAAUUAAAGAUGUAAAUAAUAUUAUGAAAGAGGGAAGAAUUAAAACCUUUGCAGCUCUAAUGUUAGAAUAUAAUUUACCAAAAUCUGAAACAUUUGACUACUUAAGAAUCAAAUCACUUGUGUCUAAAAAUUUUGAAGAGGGAAAAAUUAAAAAUGCCAUCUAUAUGAAACAAAUUUUUGCACCAAUGAAAACAUUAAAACUUUUAGCAAAAUGCUAUAUGUUGACCCGAACGAUGUCACAAAUUAUCUUUAUAAAACAGUUUUAAAAAUGGGAAAGGGAGUGCAAUAUUAACAUAGAUGUUGGUGCUUGGGGUAAAACCCUAGUUAAUAUAAUUUUGAUUGAAACUUAUUUUAAAGUAUGUAACAGGUGGUACUUGGUUCGACCAGAUUAAACAAAAUGGACACUAGUGUCUCAAAUGUAUGCUGGAGAUGCUUAAGGGCGGUUUAGAGCUAUCUUCACAUAUGGUGGAGUUGCCCAAAAGUGAAAACUAUAUGGGGUCAGGUUUAUAAAAUACUUUAUGAUAUGGAUAAGAUUAAAAUUGAAAAAAGCUUGAUAACAGCAUUACUGCAUAUGGGCGGGCCUAAUUUAUCAACAUCAAAUUAAUUUUUGGUAACACAUAGUUUCCUAGCUGUGUAGAUUCUCAUAGCGAGAAAAUGGAAACAACCCAUAGAAAUUAGUUACUAUCAAUGGGCAAAAUAACUAACUUUCCAAUUAAAGAUGGAAUUGGGUGUAUGCUGGGGAAAUAAUUAUUUCGUCAGGAAUAAAAUGAUAAGGGAUAAAUGUCUUGAUAAAAUGUUGGCAUUUAAUAAAAACUGAGUAAAACAUUCACUUUAGAUUUAGAUAAGUCAUAAAGAAAAGACAGGAAAUACUCUUCCCUGCUCAGUCCCUUUUUCCACACAGGUAGAAUGUAUUUUGUAUUAGUAAAUGUUAAGUCUGUGUACGCUAAUG